RNAcentral lists this ribosomal RNA (245 nucleotides) under uncultured bacterium. Its description in RNAcentral is "partial 16S ribosomal RNA". It matches the Rfam family "Bacterial small subunit ribosomal RNA", at positions 524 to 768 of the family's 1533-position model. The record is from RNAcentral.
UACAUAGGGUCCAAGCGUUGUCCGGAUUUACUGGGCGUAAAGAGCGUGUAGGCGGUAAGGCAAGUUAAAUUUCAAAUGCUCUUGGCUUAACCAGAGCAUGGAUUUAAUACUAUCUUACUUGAGAUUGGGAGAGGAAAGCGGAACUAACAGUGUAGCGGUGAAAUGCGUAGAUAUUGUUAGGAACACCCGUGGCGAAGGCGGCUUUCUGGACCAAUUCUGACGCUGAGACGCGAGAGCGUGGGGAG